Molecule: unclassified non-coding RNA, 365 nt
Filed under: uncultured bacterium
Lineage: Bacteria
Description: contains 16S-23S intergenic spacer region
Source: RNAcentral
UCCGAGUUUAUCUCGGCAGUCUCAUUAGACACAUGUAACUAACGACGAGGGUUGCGCUCGUUGCGGGACUUAACCCAACACCUCACGGCACGAGCUGACGACAGCCAUGCACCACCUGCGCACAAGUCCCUUGCGGGAGGUUCUGGCUUUCACCAAAAUUUCCUGUGCAUGUCAAACCCAGGUAAGGUUCUUCGCGUUGCCUCGAAUUAAACCACACGCUCCGCUGCUUGUGCGGGCCCCCGCCUAUUCCUUUGAGUUUUAAUCUUGCGACCGUACUCCCCAGGCGGGAUGCUUAAUGCGUUAGCUGCGCCACUGAAGAGCAAGCUCCCCAACGGCUAGCAUCCAUCGUUUACGGCGUGGACUAC